This is a non-coding RNA of Podarcis lilfordi (Lilford's wall lizard), 218 nucleotides long. Lineage: Eukaryota; Metazoa; Chordata; Lepidosauria; Squamata; Lacertidae. The record is from the annotation of a GenBank genome assembly.
UUCUUUUGUUGCAACGUGGAGCGUUGAGGGUUGUGCGUUAUGUUUUUAGAUGCACCAUAAAAAAAAGAAAUAAAUUCUGGUUUAGAUUCUUUCAAAUGCUUGCAGUGGGCAGUGUGUGUGUGUGUGUGUGUGUGUGUGUGUGUGUGAAAGAGAGAGAGAGAGGGGACUGGUUGCCUGAUUCCACCACUGCCCCCUUUCUGCCAGCGUAGUCUCAGAAA